Molecule: ribosomal RNA, 433 nt
Filed under: uncultured bacterium
Lineage: Bacteria
Description: partial 16S ribosomal RNA
Rfam family: Bacterial small subunit ribosomal RNA
Source: RNAcentral
AACGAACGCUGGCGGCAUGCCUAACACAUGCAAGUCGAACGAGACCUUCGGGUCUAGUGGCGCACGGGUGCGUAACGCGUGGGAACCUGCCCUUAGGUUCGGAAUAACUCCCCGAAAGGGGUGCUAAUACCGGAUAAUGUCUUCGGACCAAAGAUUUAUCGCCUUUGGAUGGGCCCGCGUUGGAUUAGCUAGUUGGUAGGGUAAAAGCCUACCAAGGCGACGAUCCAUAGCUGGUCUGAGAGGAUGAUCAGCCACACUGGGACUGAGACACGGCCCAGACUCCUACGGGAGGCAGCAGUGGGGAAUAUUGGACAAUGGGCGAAGGCCUGAUCCAGCCAUGCCGCGUGAGUGAUGAAGGCGUUAGGGUUGUGAAGCUCUUUUACCCGGGAUGAUAAUGACAGUACCGGGAGAAUAAGCACCGGCUAACUCCGUG